Molecule: small RNA, 114 nt
Filed under: uncultured Anaerotignum sp.
Lineage: Bacteria; Bacillati; Bacillota; Clostridia; Lachnospirales; Anaerotignaceae
Description: Ribosomal protein L10 leader
Rfam family: Ribosomal protein L10 leader
About the family: This family is a putative r-protein leader autoregulatory structure found in B. subtilis and other low-GC Gram-positive bacteria. It is located in the 5' untranslated regions of mRNAs encoding ribosomal proteins L10 and L12 (rplJ-rplL).
Source: RNAcentral
UCAUAUUGCCCGUAGACAGCAGGUGCCUCGUGCGUAAAUCCUGCCGAGGAAUUUGCUUGUUUUUAGAGCGUAUAUUAAGCCUCUUUGUCUAUGUGCAAAGAGGCUUUUUCAUCA